Ornithorhynchus anatinus (platypus) is the source of this 702-nucleotide long non-coding RNA. RefSeq lists it as uncharacterized. The record is from RefSeq and is a predicted model, not a curated record. The transcript has 2 exons. NCBI's taxonomy places the organism in Eukaryota, Metazoa, Chordata, Mammalia, Monotremata, Ornithorhynchidae.
UUUUCAUGUCUUUCCCUAGGAGUGACACCUUGAAGCAGAGCUCUGCACCUACUGUCCUCUUCUGAACCCAACAGAGGAUGGAUUUGGUUCCAGAAAAGAGCACAGUAACUAUGUUUAAUGAUUUCUUAAGUACAGAGCUCAGCACACUCCCAAAUAUUCAGCUACACUAACCAAAGAUGACCAUUACUUGAUAGGAGUCGAUCAACUACCAAUGCCCACCUUAGCACAUACAAUGAUGGAGCAAACUAUCCAGUACUCGUGUUCGCUGGAAUUGUAGGCUCUGUUCCAGAUUUCUCUAACUGUCCUGUCAGAGGUGCCAAGCCAUCUUCAAAAGGCCUGGACCAAUGACUUCUACAUGGAACCACAGAUGCUACCGUCUAAGGCUGAUAAAAGGUGGUCGUUUUGAAUUGUGAGGAAGCAGGAGCAGUAAGACAGCAGCAUUCUAAGGAAAGAAAAGCAGGAGAAGCAGCAGAAGGUAGCAGCAACAUGAGGGCGCAGAGAAGAAAGCAGCGUGUGGAGGAGGCUUGCAGCAUCAGCUGUCCGUGUUGCCAGGAACUUCUCCCAAGCUUCUGCCUUAGGACUAACAGAACGGGCUCCUUUGAUCAGCAGGCUUGUAUUAGACCCUUAGUGGAGCAAGUAAGAGUGUGUACAUGUCACUCCCUUGCACGUUGUUAAAAUAAAGUAAAACUCCUUCCAAAGUAA